AACGGAACUUGUUGAAUGAAGUUUUCGGAUGGAUUUUGAUAAGUUUAGUGGCGGACGGGUGAGUAACGCGUGAGCAACCUGCCUUGCAGAGGGGGGAUAACGUUUGGAAACGAACGCUAAUACCGCAUAAAGUAUCUGAUAUCGCAUGGUAUUGAUCCAAAGGAGCAAUCCGCUGAAGGAUGGCCUCGCGUCCGAUUAGAUAGUUGGUGGGGUAACGGCCUACCAAGUCGACGAUCAGUAGCCGGACUGANAGGUUGAUCGGCCACAUUGGGACUGAGACACGGCCCAGACUCCUACGGGAGGCAGCAGUGGGGAAUAUUGCACAAAUGGAGGAAACUCUGAUGCAGCGACGCCGCGUGAGGGAAGAAGGUAUUCGUAUUGUAAACCUCUGUCUUCGGGGACGAUAAUGACGGUACCCGAGGAGGAAGCACCGGCUAACUACGUG
RNAcentral lists this ribosomal RNA (445 nucleotides) under uncultured bacterium. RNAcentral describes it as "bacterial SSU rRNA". It matches the Rfam family "Bacterial small subunit ribosomal RNA", at positions 65 to 507 of the family's 1533-position model. The record is from RNAcentral.